This is a long non-coding RNA of Cicer arietinum (chickpea), 644 nucleotides long. RefSeq lists it as uncharacterized. Lineage: Eukaryota; Viridiplantae; Streptophyta; Magnoliopsida; Fabales; Fabaceae. The record is from RefSeq and is a predicted model, not a curated record.
CAUAAUACUUUAUUUACUAAAAACUAUUCAAUUGAAAAAAGCAUAGCAUGAGUUUUUUUACAAUAUAAAUUGAUGAAACAAUUUUGUAUUUGAUUCAUGCAAAGCUAGAAGAAAAAAUGGAUAAAACUCUCAAAGUCAUUUAUACUAUCAUCCUUUUUGUGUUCCUAUUUCUUGUUGUAGUCGAUGUUGGUGGUGAUAUUAUAGAUCGUCCAUGUCACGAUGACAUCGGUUGUAUAACUUACCCGUGUCCCCGUUAUGCUCAAGGAUAUUGCUCAACGGGUCGUUGUAGAUGCACAAGAUCAUCAUGUUAAGAGUUAUAGUCAACACGAUGAUGACAAGCAAUCGAUGGAGGUUUUCUUGUGAAAGUGGAGUACUAGAGGCAUGUGCCUCACUUUAUUUUUUUAGUUUUUUUUAUUGUUGUUGUAUGAGGUGGAGUAACUCUUGAUUGAGUUAUUCUUUUCAAUAAUUGUUUGUAUUCCUUGAUAUUUAAUGUUUUCACUUGUUUUAUUUAUAAAUUUUAAAGGUUAUGAUUUAUAAAAUUAUUGUUAUUAUUUGUUUUUUUUAAAUAUCAUAUUUUUGUAACAUAAAAACUUAGUGUGUGUUUACGUUGUAAUUUUAAUUACUAUCAAUAUCUUUCAUUAUAA